UACACGAGAGGGUAAACCUAUGAUCACAACCAGAGUCUCAGGAGGUGGGGCCUGGAGAGACAAGUGGCGUGUGCUAGUCGUCUCCGUCGCCGUUCCUUCUACUGCUGCUGCUGUUCCUCCUCUGGGAACUUCCAGGGACUCUACCGCGACUCCCACACGCACUAGGGGGAGCGGAACCGGAGGGACACCCUCUACCGGUGGUUGUUCGUUCGAUUACUGUGGAUGCCUCUCUAGUCGAAGAGGUUGGAGAGGCCGAAGUUCAUAAAUCAAAAGUAAUUGCGACAGUGACGGCGGAUAAGGCACCAGAGGUAGGACUACAGUAGGAAGUUCAGGGAGCGAGCGAUACUAACCGAGUAAAAGGAGGACCUAGUCCGCCGCCGCAUGGACGACCACUGUAGCACGAGCCGCCGCCGCCUCGACCACAUGGACCGCUACCUCCCGCUGGCCCUCCACAGCACCCCGCUCCACACGAGGAUGAAGCCAGCCAAGACGCCGUCCCGGUGGCACAGGCACCGCGACGUCCGGCGGCGCGACGAGACGAAGCAGCGCGAGAGGGAGCAGAGGCGGAAGGCCCAGAAGGCGCUCAAGCUGCGGGGACCACGAGUACAACUAACGAGCCCCCUGAGACUGAGGUUCGUCCUUCCAUGUUCCCACGUGCUGAACAGAGGGUUUGAUACGUGAUAUGCUUCUUCUUUUUAUGUACUUAGAGGGAAGGGGCCGUCACUUUUGCAGUGGCCCGGUGUGUCUCUGACUUGGCUUUGAGUAGCUUCCACCUGAUAACUCGCCAUCGUUGUACGUUUUGAGCAUAGGUCGGUUCGCG
This 820-nucleotide ribosomal RNA is filed under the name Triticum aestivum (bread wheat). Its description in RNAcentral is "partial small subunit ribosomal RNA". Lineage: Eukaryota; Viridiplantae; Streptophyta; Magnoliopsida; Poales; Poaceae. The record is from RNAcentral.